Molecule: long non-coding RNA, 1056 nt
Organism: Oncorhynchus tshawytscha (Chinook salmon)
Lineage: Eukaryota; Metazoa; Chordata; Actinopteri; Salmoniformes; Salmonidae
Source: Ensembl
AAAAAAUACAGUUUUAUGUCUUUAUGUUUGAAGCCUGAAAUGUGGCAAAAGGUUGCAAAGUUCAAGGGGGCCGAAUACUUUCGCAAGGCACUGUAUUUGUUUCAGAUUUAAUUGGAUUUUGUGCUGCUGUUUGGAGAGGUGGCCAACUACAUUCAAGCAAAAGAUCAUCAUGCUAAGCAAGACCCUAAGCAAGGCCACUCAGGGAGCUGAACUUCAGCAGCUGAUCCAGAUAGCAGAAUUUGCAGUUGAUGAGGGAGCUGACACGAAUGCUGAUGGAUCUCUUCUUUGUUUAGGAUGGAACGGUGACCUUUCCUCCAUCCUUCUCCUGCUCCAUUUGAUUAUUCCUUCAUCACAAGGCCGCAAAAGACAAGGCAUGAUGUCUGCAUCCCAAGCUGAACAGCAUCUUGUGAUAUUCCAAAAGGCAGGAACCAGUAUCCAGGAGCACCUUGACGCGAUUGACCAGAGCCGCCAACCAUAUCUUCUUGCAGUCGGGACCAGGAAGAGCAGCUUUCAUGCUUACUUCAUCAUCUUGGUGCCUUCGAAGAGCUUUAAGACUCACUUUGUUUUUGGUACUGCUUAAAUCAAAUCAAAAAAUCAAAUCAAAUUUUAUUUGUCACAUACACAUGGUUAGCAGAUGUUAAUGCGAGUGUAGCGAAAUGCUUGUGCUUCUAGUUCCGACAAUGCAGUAAUAACGAACAAGUAAUCUAACUAACAAUUCCAAAACUACUGUCUUAUACACAGUGUAAGGGGAUAAAGAAUAUGUACAUAAAGAUAUAUGAAUGAGUGAUGGUACAGAGCAGCAUAGGCAAGAUACAGUAGAUGAUAUCGAGUACAGUAUCUACAUAUGAGAUGAGUAUGUAAACAAAGUGGCAUAGUUAAAGUGGCUAGUGAUACAUGUAUUACAUAAGGAUGCAGUCGAUGAUAUAGAGUACAGUGUAUACGUAUGCAUAUGAGAUGAAUAAUGUAGGGUAAGUAACAUUGUAUAAGGUAGCAUUGUUUAAAGUGGCUAGUGAUAUAUUUACAUCAUUUCCCAUCAAUUCCCAUUAUUAAAGUGGC